RNAcentral lists this microRNA (22 nucleotides) under Echinops telfairi (small Madagascar hedgehog). Lineage: Eukaryota; Metazoa; Chordata; Mammalia; Afrosoricida; Tenrecidae. The record is from RNAcentral.
AUCAUACAUGUUUGACCUUUUU